Molecule: long non-coding RNA, 1698 nt
Organism: Capsicum annuum
Lineage: Eukaryota; Viridiplantae; Streptophyta; Magnoliopsida; Solanales; Solanaceae
Exons: 2
Source: RefSeq, a predicted model, not a curated record
CAUCAGCUCCUCUCUCUCUUCACUUCUCUCUAACCACCGCUGUUAUCGCCGGCCGGCCAAUGGCGCCGCCCGCGCCGCAUUUUCUUCCUCUUUUCUCCUUUCUCAUCGCUGGUACCCCUCUCCUUUCUCUCCCUCAUUCCACCGUGCCACCACCUGACUGCCGGUCAGCGACCAGCGCCACUGCUCCGUUCUCUUCAUUCCACCGCACCCAGAGCCGAUAACCCAGAAAGCGUUGAAAUGCAUGAUGGAUUCUAUGAAUCUGUCUCAAGUUUGUUUCCGUAAUGCAAUUUUCAUAUUGUCAUCUUCUUCUACCCAUCCAAUGAUUUUUAGAUAUUAAAUUCGUGAUAUUCGUGACAUGGGGUGAUUUAAUUCUAUGCAUAUUUAUAUUUUUUACACUGCCCAAUUUUGAAAACCCCAAUUUUACCCCUAGUUUGUUUAGUGAUGCAUAUUAGUUUGUGGAAGUUUCAUCUCUUUGUCUAAGAUAAUUCCAUAAAUGUAAUAUUUAUGGUAUCAGGAAAAACAUUUGAGAAAUCUCCUAUCUAUACAAGCUAUUUUUACGGACCCUACUUAUGGAAAGGUUCGUAUUUUUUACUGCAAGAUAAAUUUGGGGAUUCAUUAUUUUUCGUGGUUCCUAUUAUGUAGUCUUUUGAUAAAGACAAUAGAGACCUUCUUUCCCUCUGAUUAAUACUAUGUUUCCCGAUCUUAUUUAGUUUGAGCAUAGAGAAAAUUUAGAAAAUACCACAUAGGAUGCUAAAAGAGUCCUUGAAUAAGAAGGUGACGAUGAAGGCCUAAAAUUUCUACCAAAGACGUUUGAUAUAGUAAGAAAGAAGGUCUGCUUAAAGAUGCUGAAGUUUAUCUUUUUCUUUUGUGCUUUUGAUUUUGAGAUUUUAUUUAUACAUCAUUAAUAAAUGGCAGAAUUUUGUUUCUUCUUUUCCUUUUGUUGAUUGCAAAGUAACACAUGAUCAAUGAUUGACUUUUUAGGUUAUUUCCUCGUGUAUAUUGAUAUUUUUUAAUAUAAUGUAUAUUUCUCUCAUAAUAGGUUAACAGUAGCUUGCAUGUGUUUUGGCAUUAUAAGUCCAUUAGCAAACAUCCUAUAUUCUAAAUGAACACUUCAAUAUUUCUAAAUAAAGACUUCAAUAUUUCAGUGUUUUGGUAAGCUAUUUGGUUCUCAGGUUUAUAAUAUGGUCUGCUGCUGAGGUUAUUAUUUUAUUGUGAGCCGGGCUCUAUCGGAAACAGUCUCUCUAUCUCACAUCUAAGAAUGAGUUUGAAAGAAAGAAACAUGAAAUAUUAGUUGCUCAUAGUGCAUCAAUUGUGGAAGGAGGAUGAGAAAGGAAUUGGAUUUGUUGAUGAAGCAUGUAUACAAGAAAUCAUCUUCAAAUGAUGAACGCCCAUCUCAAGAAGACAACCAAGCUUAUGAGGAUGAAUGUGAUGAUGACUCUAACGACGUGAAUGAAAGUGAUUGACCCUCAUGGUUGAUAGUUUUAUUAAGGAUUCAAGUUCGAAAUAUUUUAUUUUGGGCCAUUAAGAAUCAUACAUUAUUGAUGUGGAUGUUACGAAUUAUAUUUUUUUGUUAGCUGUAAUGGUUUACAUUAGACUUAAUGAUAUUUUUGAGAAUUAUUAGAGGUUUUGAAUAGAUUUUUGACUAAUUGUAAAAUAUUUUUAGUAAUUUACGUGUGAAUUAUUACUUGAGAAUUUUCA